Molecule: ribosomal RNA, 440 nt
Filed under: uncultured bacterium
Lineage: Bacteria
Description: partial 16S ribosomal RNA
Rfam family: Bacterial small subunit ribosomal RNA
Source: RNAcentral
CCUACGGGAGGCAGCAGUGGGGAAUAUUGCGCAAUGGGGGAAACCCUGACGCAGCGACGCCGCGUGAGCGAUGAAGGUCUUCGGAUCGUAAAGCUCUAUCAGCAGGGAAGAAAGUGCCGUUACCUAAUUAACAAGCACCUGCUAAAUACGUGCCAGCAGCCGCGGUAAUACGUCGGGCGCAAGCGUUAUCCGGUUUUACUGGGCGUAAAGAUCGCGUAGGCGGGAUAGCAAGUCACGUGUGAAAUCCCCUGGCUUAACCAUAGAACUGCAUUUGAAACUGGUAUACUAGAGUGUGUGAGAGGAAAGUGGAAUUCCUGGUGUAGGAGUGAAAUCCGUAGAUAUCUAGAGGAACAUCAGUGGCGAAGGCGACUUUCUAGAACAUAACUGACGCUGAUGCGCGAAAGCGUGGGGAGCAAACAGGAUUAGAUACCCGUGUAGUC